This 365-nucleotide long non-coding RNA is filed under the name Linum usitatissimum (flax). RNAcentral describes it as "long non-coding RNA (LUSI_LNC001422)". Lineage: Eukaryota; Viridiplantae; Streptophyta; Magnoliopsida; Malpighiales; Linaceae. The record is from RNAcentral.
UUUCUUCUGUUUCUUAACCUUCUUUUGCAAUGUAACUAUUUUGUUUCUCUUUUUUUGGUUCUUAGCUACAUGGCUAGUUGCAUUCGGUCUAUACAUCUUCACCCCUAUGCAGUACUUCUCAGUCUUUCACAACUCAGAACUCUCUCUCCACAUAAUUUCGUUACUUUUCCCUUCUCUCCGACCUUAUUUCCUAUACUCACCGCUCUGUCGGAAUGCCGUCUAACUCCAACCUCCUCUUUUGGUGAAGGUUGAAGUUACAAUUUACAACUGGCAAUUCAAGAUCGUCGUCGUCGCAUGAAUUGUAUCCCCAGUCGGAGUCGCUGUCGUAGACGCCAGCUCAUCGAACAGAGAAGAAGAAUAAGAAC